ACAAAAUGUACUUUAAGGUCACAUUAAGGUCAAAUCAGCUUCCUGGUUGGACAACAUUGACUGCUUCUUAAGAUCAUUUAUAUAAAAAAGAAGAUGUGGUAUAAUUUGCUAUUGAGACAAGAGACCAAAUGACACAGACAUUAACAACUAUCGGUCACUAUAUGACCUUCAACAAUCAGGAAAGCUCAUACCCCAUAGUCAGUUACAAAAGGCCC
Molecule: long non-coding RNA, 215 nt
Filed under: Mytilus galloprovincialis (Mediterranean mussel)
Lineage: Eukaryota; Metazoa; Mollusca; Bivalvia; Mytilida; Mytilidae
Source: RNAcentral